This 434-nucleotide ribosomal RNA is filed under the name uncultured bacterium. RNAcentral's name for it is "partial 16S ribosomal RNA". It matches the Rfam family "Bacterial small subunit ribosomal RNA", at positions 27 to 507 of the family's 1533-position model. The record is from RNAcentral.
GAACGAACGCUGGCGGCAUGCCUAACACAUGCAAGUCGAACGAGACCUUCGGGUCUAGUGGCGCACGGGUGCGUAACGCGUGGGAACCUGCCCUUAGGUUCGGAAUAACUCCCCGAAAGGGGUGCUAAUACCGGAUAAUGUCUUCGGACCAAAGAUUUAUCGCCUUUGGAUGGGCCCGCGUUGGAUUAGCUAGUUGGUAGGGUAAAAGCCUACCAAGGCGACGAUCCAUAGCUGGUCUGAGAGGAUGAUCAGCCACACUGGGACUGAGACACGGCCCAGACUCCUACGGGAGGCGGCAGUGGGGAAUAUUGGACAAUGGGCGAAAGCCUGAUCCAGCAAUGCCGCGUGAGUGAUGAAGGCCUUAGGGUUGUAAAGCUCUUUUACCCGGGAUGAUAAUGACAGUACCGGGAGAAUAAGCUCCGGCUAACUCCGUG